UACGAAGGGGGCUAGCGUUGCUCGGAAUGACUGGGCGUAAAGGGCGCGUAGGCGGUUUGUACAGUCAGGUGUGAAAUUCCCGGGCUCAACCUGGGGGCUGCACUUGAUACGUAUGGACUGGAGUGGGGAAGAGGGUCGUGGAAUUCCCAGUGUAGAGGUGAAAUUCGUAGAUAUUGGGAAGAACACCGGUGGCGAAGGCGGCGACCUGGUCCUUGACUGACGCUGAGGAGCGAAAGCCAGGGGAGCAAACGGG
Molecule: ribosomal RNA, 253 nt
Filed under: uncultured bacterium
Lineage: Bacteria
Description: partial 16S ribosomal RNA
Rfam family: Bacterial small subunit ribosomal RNA
Source: RNAcentral